RNAcentral lists this ribosomal RNA (447 nucleotides) under uncultured bacterium. Its description in RNAcentral is "partial 16S ribosomal RNA". It matches the Rfam family "Bacterial small subunit ribosomal RNA", at positions 29 to 523 of the family's 1533-position model. The record is from RNAcentral.
AACGAACGCUGGCGGCAGGCUUAACACAUGCAAGUCGAGCGCCCUGCAAGGGGAGCGGCACACGGGUGAGUAACGCGUGGGAAUCUACCGAGCCCUGCGGAAUAGCUCCGGGAAACUGGAAUUAAUACCGCAUACGCCCUACGGGGGAAAGAUUUAUCGGGGUUUGAUGAGCCCGCGUUGGAUUAGCUAGUUGGUGGGGUAAAGGCCUACAAAGGCGACGAUCCAUAGCUGGUCUGAGAGGAUGAUCAGCCACAUUGGGACUGAGACACCGCCCAAACUACUACGGGGGGCAGCAGUGGGGAAUAUUGGACAAUGGGCGCAAGCCUGAUCCAGCCAUGCCGCGUGAGGGAUGAAGGCCCUAGGGUUGUAAAGCUCUUUCAACGGUGAAGAUAAUGACGGUAACCGUAGAAGAAGCCCCGGCUAACUUCGUGCCAGCCGCCGCCGUAA